GAAGCCCAUUUUCUGUGUGUUUAUAGCACUUUAGUAUUUCUGUAUCACAACACUUACCUUUCCUUAUCAAGGUUCCUACUAAUUUCUAAGUUCCAUGAUGUCAGGCAAUGUGUUUGAAUUGUCUUUGAAUUUCUAGUCAGUUUCCUAAGGCUUCAGAACAUACUUAGAUCAAUAAAAGGUUUGUAAAGGCAGCAGUGAAUGUACUAUUGAUUUCUCACAUAUGCUUUCACAGGACUCUGCCAAAAAUGAAGAUCCUCGUCUUUGCCUUUAUUAUGGCUCUCAUGUUAGCCAUGAUUAGAGCUGAUUCAUCUGAAGAGAAACGUUUCUGGAAAUGGAGAAAAUACAAUUUUGGGUAUUACCAACCAUACCAGCAAUACGUGCCGUAUCAGCGGUAUCCACAAAACUAUCCUAUCUAUCCUUUUCAAUAUCCAUUUCCUUAAAACGCUGCUCGGUAACCACAGGACAUGAUUACAGAGACUUGGUGAGAAGUCCUAUUUGCUUUGUACUCACAAUGAUUCUUCCUGUUCUUCCUGCUGUGUCCAAAUUCCAGCUUUCAAAACAAAGAAAGAAAAAAAAAAGAAAAAGAAAAUUCAAUCAAGUAGUGUUACAUAAAGAAUACACACCUAAGAUCAAAUAUCAAUAAUUUUAAAACAGUAGUAAUGAUAAUCUGACCUUUCUUUUCUCUGUUAAAGUAUUUUGAAAAUUAAAAAAAAAA
Molecule: non-coding RNA, 715 nt
Organism: Vicugna pacos (alpaca)
Lineage: Eukaryota; Metazoa; Chordata; Mammalia; Artiodactyla; Camelidae
Source: RefSeq, a predicted model, not a curated record